RNAcentral lists this ribosomal RNA (250 nucleotides) under uncultured bacterium. RNAcentral describes it as "partial 16S ribosomal RNA". It matches the Rfam family "Bacterial small subunit ribosomal RNA", at positions 100 to 334 of the family's 1533-position model. The record is from RNAcentral.
AAGAUGGCGACCGGCGGCACGGGUGAGUAACACGUAUCCAACCUGCCGAUAACUCUGGAAUAGCCUUUCGAAAGAAAGAUUAAUACCGGAUGGCAUACGAAUAUCGCAUGAUAUUUUUAUUUAAAGAAUUUCGGUUAUCGAUGGGGAUGCGUUCCAUUAGUUUGUUGGCGGGGUAACGGCCCACCAAGACAACGAUGGAUAGGGGUUCUGAGAGGAAGGUCCCCCACAUUGGAACUGAGACACGGUCCAA